CAGGCUUAACACAUGCAAGUCGAGGGGCAGCAUGGUCUUAGCUUGCUAAGGCCGAUGGCGACCGGCGCACGGGUGAGUAACACGUAUCCAACCUGCCGUCUACUCUUGGACAGCCUUCUGAAAGGAAGAUUAAUACAAGAUGGCAUCAUGAGUCCGCAUGUUCACAUGAUUAAAGGUAUUCCGGUAGACGAUGGGGAUGCGUUCCAUUAGAUAGUAGGCGGGGUAACGGCCCACCUAGUCUUCGAUGGAUAGGGGUUCUGAGAGGAAGGUCCCCCACAUUGGAACUGAGACACGGUCCAAACUCCUACGGGAGGCAGCAGUGAGGAAUAUUGGUCAAUGGGCGAGAGCCUGAACCAGCCAAGUAGCGUGAAGGAUGACUGCCCUAUGGGUUGUAAACUUCUUUUAUAAAGGAAUAAAGUCGGGUAUGGAUACCCGUUUGCAUGUACUUUAUGAAUAAGGAUCGGCUAACUCCGUGCCAGCAGCCGCGGUAAUACGGAGGAUCCGAGCGUUAUCCGGAUUUAUUGGGUUUAAAGGGAGCGUAGAUGGAUGUUUAAGUCAGUUGUGAAAGUUUGCGGCUCAACCGUAAAAUUGCAGUUGAUACUGGAUAUCUUGAGUGCAGUUGAGGCAGGCGGAAUUCGUGGUGUAGCGGUGAAAUGCUUAGAUAUCACGAAGAACUCCGAUUGCGAAGGCAGCCUGCUAAGCUGCAACUGACAUUGAGGCUCGAAAGUGUGGGUAUCAAACAGGAUUAGAUACCCUGGUAGUCCACACGGUAAACGAUGAAUACUCGCUGUUUGCGAUAUACAGCAAGCGGCCAAGCGAAAGCGUUAAGUAUUCCACCUGGGGAGUACGCCGGCAACGGUGAAACUCAAAGGAAUUGACGGGGGCCCGCACAAGCGGAGGAACAUGUGGUUUAAUUCGAUGAUACGCGAGGAACCUUACCCGGGCUUAAAUUGCAGAUGAAUUACGGUGAAAGCCGUAAGCCGCAAGGCAUCUGUGAAGGUGCUGCAUGGUUGUCGUCAGCUCGUGCCGUGAGGUGUCGGCUUAAGUGCCAUAACGAGCGCAACCCUUGUUGUCAGUUACUAACAGGUUCCGCUGAGGACUCUGACAAGACUGCCAUCGUAAGAUGUGAGGAAGGUGGGGAUGACGUCAAAUCAGCACGGCCCUUACGUCCGGGGCUACACACGUGUUACAAUGGGGGGUACAGAGGGCCGCUACCACGCGAGUGGAUGCCAAUCCCCAAAACCUCUCUCAGUUCGGACUGGAGUCUGCAACCCGACUCCACGAAGCUGGAUUCGCUAGUAAUCGCGCAUCAGCCACGGCGCGGUGAAUACGUUCCCGGGCCUUGUACACACCGCCCGUCAAGCCAUGGGAGCCGGGGGUACCUGAAGUGCGUAACCGCGAGGAGCGCCCUAGGGUAAAACUGGUGACUGG
Molecule: ribosomal RNA, 1431 nt
Filed under: uncultured organism
Description: 16S ribosomal RNA
Rfam family: Bacterial small subunit ribosomal RNA
Source: RNAcentral